GAUGAACGCUGGCGGCGUGCCUAAUACAUGCAAGUCGAGCGAACAGACGAGGAGCUUGCUCCUCUGACGUUAGCGGCGGACGGGUGAGUAACACGUGGAUAACCUACCUAUAAGACUGGGAUAACUUCGGGAAACCGGAGCUAAUACCGGAUAAUAUAUUGAACCGCAUGGUUCAAUAGUGAAAGACGGUUUUGCUGUCACUUAUAGAUGGAUCCGCGCCGCAUUAGCUAGUUGGUAAGGUAACGGCUUACCAAGGCAACGAUGCGUAGCCGACCUGAGAGGGUGAUCGGCCACACUGGAACUGAGACACGGUCCAGACUCCUACGGGAGGCAGCAGUAGGGAAUCUUCCGCAAUGGGCGAAAGCCUGACGGAGCAGCGCCGCGUGAGUGAUGAAGGUCUUCGGAUCGUAAAACUCUGUUAUUAGGGAAGAACAAAUGUGUAAGUAACUAUGCACGUCUUGACGGUACCUGAUCAGAAAGCCACGGCUAACUACGUG
Molecule: ribosomal RNA, 497 nt
Filed under: uncultured bacterium
Lineage: Bacteria
Description: partial 16S ribosomal RNA
Rfam family: Bacterial small subunit ribosomal RNA
Source: RNAcentral